CCGGCUGGGGCCGCGGACGCGGGGCGGCCGCGCCGAUGCACCCGGUGCCCGGGGUCGAUCCCGGUUCCAGCACCGAGCAGCUGGGC
This 86-nucleotide transfer RNA is filed under the name Streptomyces spororaveus. Its description in RNAcentral is "tRNA-Cys". Lineage: Bacteria; Bacillati; Actinomycetota; Actinomycetes; Kitasatosporales; Streptomycetaceae. The record is from RNAcentral.